GAUGAACGCUUGCGGGAGGCCUAACACAUGCAAGCCGAGCGGUAUUGUUUCUUCGGAAAUGAGAGAGCGGCGUACGGGUGCGGAACACGUGUGCAACCUGCCUUUAUCUGGGGGAUAGCCUUUCGAAAGGAAGAUUAAUACUCCAUAAUAUAUUGAACGGCAUCGUUUAAUAUUGAAAGCUCCGGCGGAUAGAGAUGGGCACGCGCAAGAUUAGCUAGUUGGUGAGGUAACGGCUCACCAAGGCGAUGAUCUUUAGGGGGCCUGAGAGGGUGAUCCCCCACACUGGUACUGAGACACGGACCAGACUCCUACGGGAGGCAGCAGUGAGGAAUAUUGGUCAAUGGGUGCAAGCCUGAACCAGCCAUCCCGCGUGAAGGACGACUGCCCUAUGGGUUGUAAACUUCUUUUGUAUAGGGAUAAACCUACCCUCGUGAGGGUAGCUGAAGGUACUAUACGAAUAAGCACCGGCUAACUCCGUGCCAGCAGCCGCGGUAAUACGGAGGGUGCAAGCGUUAUCCGGAUUUAUUGGGUUUAAAGGGUCCGUAGGCGGACUUAUAAGUCAGUGGUGAAAGCCUGUCGCUUAACGAUAGAACUGCCAUUGAUACUGUAAGUCUUGAGUAUAUUUGAGGUAGCUGGAAUAAGUAGUGUAGCGGUGAAAUGCAUAGAUAUUACUUAGAACACCAAUUGCGAAGGCAGGUUACCAAGAUAUAACUGACGCUGAGGGACGAAAGCGUGGGGAGCGAACAGGAUUAGAUACCCUGGUAGUCCACGCCGUAAACGAUGCUAACUCGUUUUUGGGCUUUAGGGUUCAGAGACCAAGCGAAAGUGAUAAGUUAGCCACCUGGGGAGUACGCUCGCAAGAGUGAAACUCAGAGGAAUUGACGGGGGCCCGCACAAGCGGUGGAUUAUGUGGUUUAAUUCGAUGAUACGCGAGGAACCUUACCAAGACUUAAAUGAGAAUUGACAGCUUUAGAAAUAGAGCUUUCUUCGGACAAUUUUCAAGGUGCUGCAUGGUUGUCGUCAGCUCGUGCCGUGAGGUGUUAGGUUAAGUCCUGCAACGAGCGCAACCCCUGUCACUAGUUGCCAUCAUUCAGUUGGGGACUCUAGUGAGACUGCCUACGCAAGUAGAGAGGAAGGUGGGGAUGACGUCAAAUCAUCACGGCCCUUACGUCUUGGGCCACACACGUAAUACAAUGGCCGGUACAGAGGGCAGCUACACAGCGAUGUGAUGCAAAUCUCGAAAGCCGGUCUCAGUUCGGAUUGGAGUCUGCAACUCGACUCUAUGAAGCUGGAAUCGCUAGUAAUCGCGCAUCAGCCAUGGCGCGGUGAAUACGUUCCCGGGCCU
RNAcentral lists this ribosomal RNA (1345 nucleotides) under uncultured bacterium. RNAcentral describes it as "bacterial SSU rRNA". It matches the Rfam family "Bacterial small subunit ribosomal RNA", at positions 28 to 1381 of the family's 1533-position model. The record is from RNAcentral.